CGGGACACGGGUUAGCCCACCUCGGUGCCGCCCCACAGGUAUCAACCGGCAGCGUUGUGUUACUCUGGUUUACAAUGGGAUUCUCUGAAGAAAAACAAACAAAACAACCCACCACACACCUGCAGCAAAAGGACACUUCAUGCAGCAGCUGGGGACAAACUGACGGCACAGCACCAUGCCGAGGUUGCCAGACAAGUUCUGGUAUCUUAACUACUCUGGCUUGUUUGGUCUACAGCAAAGCUGAAUUCCCAAGUUCAGUGUAGUCAACAAUGGCUACUUUCAUUUAUUGGGCAAACAUUUCACCAGCUGGGGUGGUCACUGAAGGGUUAACAGCAGUUUGCCAAUGGUGGCUUGAUUCCCAUUUUCAAAAUUUUAGAGAAUUUUAUAGAACUAUGCGUUUACAGAUGUUCUUAACCCGUUCUUCAGACCUGUUACCUUUUUGGUGUCCAUUUCUGAUAUUGAUGCGUAGGUAUCAUUUCCUUAGUCAUGUAUUUCAGGGUACUGAUCUUUCUAUAGGAUAAGUGAGUGGAAAAGUUGGAAACAAUCUGUGAACUGCAUUUGUUCUGUGUAUAAAGAGACAAAUAGAGAAAAUAAAAUAUUGCAACUGAAACAUACCUGCUCUAUAUUUUUCCUCCAGAAUGAAGGUUAAUACCAUUUGAAGUAUCUAUAUUACAUUAACUAGAUAUCUAGAUUAUUGUCACUUCAAGAACUCCCUCUGGAGUUUGGCAGCUCCUCCAAAAUAGUUCUCUGCUAACAGAUCUGUGGAAGUGGUUUAUCAGGUAAGAGUACUAUUUAAACAUUUCAUAAAAUCCCCCCAGUUUGGCAUUGGAAAACAUUAAUUUAGGGGUUUCUACUCCUUUAGUGAAGAGAAAAAAGGAUUAGGAGAAAGCACUUAGAAAGAACCACAAAUGGGUGCCAAACAAGGCAAACAAAUGAGAAAGAUGGGGAAGUAUUGCAAAUCCAGGGAAUAUUUUUCACUGAUUUUAUGGAAAUAUGGACCCAGAUGCUUUCAGUCGUGAGUGCCUGUCCUACAAAGUUCUCACCUUCCUUGUAAGCUUGGAAUACCUUUGUCCUGCUAUGUGCUUUGUGUUGCCUUUACAAAUAUCCUUCAGCUCCUGCCUCUUCCGUAACCAUAUUGCAGUUCACUAAGCCCAGUAUGAAUCACUCUGUUUUCAUCCUCAAAUAAUUUGUACGUGCUUCUUGGAAGAACAAAAAUGUUUUACAACACUUCCAUGACAGAGAGCUUUUAUUUUUCUCAUGACUACAUCCUGAACUCUGAAAGAGUUUCCCGAGUCUCAACUGCACUUCUUCGCCCACUAAGAUUUUCAAGAUAUCAGCUCCUAAAUUUUGCAAUGGUUCUAAUGGAAGACAUGAGGAUGUGAUACCAUUAAGAUCACUCAAGUGUAGCCAUUUGUUUAAUAUUGGAAGACUUCCUGUAUUAUUAGUAAAUAUUUUUUCAGGCUUAUUUCCUUACCAUUUCCCAUUCUUAUUGAGGGUUGACAAACUAUUCUUGAAAUUGAUUAUGGAAUGCUUUCAAUGGACCUUACUUGAGUGAAUUACUUAAAACCAGCCAUUACCCUGACAUGUUAAUUAAGUUCCUACCAAUGACUAUUAGCCUCUUGAAAAAAAUUCUUUGGUCUAAAAAUAUGAAAUGGAUCUUGAUGCAAGAAUCUUCCCUUAACCUCAUAGUAAAUGCAAAUGUAUUUCAAAUAGGUUAUCCUACAGUUAGAAAAAAAAAGUCAUUCAUCUAGACAGAUACCUUAAUGAAGGCAAUGUCUUCCUGUAAGAACUUAGUCAUGAGUUAAAAUGUUAUGAUGUAUACAAAAACACAGUCUAUAAAUGCUUUUAGCUUAUUUCUCUGUCCUUAAAAAUUAAUAUUCAAAUCAUAAUCAGUUUCUCAAAUCAGCCCACUCUUGUUAAACUGAAUCUGUUCCAUGCAUUAAUUCUAAUUUACGUAGGUAUUUGGUAGCUCUCACUUGCAUUUCUUCCUACUCAUUUUGUAUCAUAGUCCAACUCCUUUACUUUUUCUGGAAAUAUGUUUAUCACGAUCAGAAAACAAUAUGUAAUUUGUUUUUCUUCACUUUUCUUCAUAAUAUGCAAAGAAAUCUGUAGUAUCUCCUUGAGGACAUCUGUGACUGGAGUGGAUUAAAAUUACUUAUCUAUGAUGGAGUCAGAAGUGGUAUUUUCUUAAGGACUGCUGUGGCACGUGUAACAGGUACACCAUGUAUGCAAGUGCCCCCUUUGUUUGUCACAGGAGGCUGUCAGUAGGUAUGGCCCAGCUGAUGGUUCUGCUAUAAGGGGGUUGUUCCUGCUUGGCUUCACACAUGCCUACAGCCAUUAUUUCAAAUAAUGAAAUGUAAUGGGUGAGUUAAGGGAGUUAGAUUAUUGUUUAACUGUUAUAAUGGAAUCAGAGCUAGAAACCUCAGGGUAACUGUCCUUGGAAGAGCCAACAAAAGAAGCAGAAAUUCAAAUUUGGAAAAUCCAAACCAUGAAAUGGAGCUACAUCCAUUUCAGCAUGUAAACAAUAAGCAUGUGGGAUGCCUAUACCCCAGCCCUGCAUACACACACAGCUAAAAGCCUUUCUUUCCUUCCCAGGUUUAUAAAACACUGAAGACAUUCCUUGUUAUCCCAUGUGCAACAGGUGAGAAAAGCAGUGCAGAGCUGCUCAGCACAGCAGCCACUUGGGAUGUGAGCAGCCUGCUCGUUUGCAGUGUCAGUCCCAGGCAGGUGUGAGUUGAACAUUCUUUGCUGUCCUGUGUAACUUCUACCCAGUGCAGAGAACACUGCUGCUCCGUGUUAUUUGCUGGAUAUUUUGGAUGUGAUUCCAAUAGCUUUAGGAGGUUCAACAGUUUUGCAGGAACAUCUUCAAAGCUGCCCUGAAUGUCCAGAAAAGCAACAGGUAGAAAACAGGUAUGCAUGUGUAAGUCCAUGGGACCUGAUAAGAUGCCCCAAGAGCCUUGAAGAAAUUGGCUGAUGUGGUUGCCAAGCCACUCUCAAGGACAUUGGAAAAAUCACAGCAGCCAGUCUCAUGCUGAAAAACCUCUGGGGAUGGUGGUGAAUGAGAGCUGUUUGUUUGGGAAACAGCAAAAUUGAAAAAUAGGCCUGCAGAAGCUCUUUUCUAUGACCUAACAUGAGUUUGGAGGAACCCAGAUGAGGUGCCUUUCCUAGUCACAUGCAAAAUCACUCUGGCUUUUAACAGAAAGUCUCAAAUGAAGAAGUGAAAGGCAGUGAAUAAUGACAGACAAUAAAUAAACAAACAGGACAACCUGGAAUAAUCAUUAUUUGUCCUGAAGAGAAUGAAAGUUUCAUCAACUUUGAAUUAAAAUUGGAAAGUAAAUUUCAAUGCAAAGGAGGAGUUAGUUCUAAUACAGUAUAAUUUUAUUCUUUGAAAGCCUCAAGCCAACCCAAGCUUGGUCUCCUCCACAGAGCCUAACCCACUGGCAGAACUAUUGCAGAAUUCAGUUCACAGUUCUCUC
Molecule: non-coding RNA, 3476 nt
Organism: Zonotrichia albicollis (white-throated sparrow)
Lineage: Eukaryota; Metazoa; Chordata; Aves; Passeriformes; Passerellidae
Source: RefSeq, a predicted model, not a curated record